This is a long non-coding RNA of Neopelma chrysocephalum (saffron-crested tyrant-manakin), 824 nucleotides long. RefSeq lists it as uncharacterized. The record is from RefSeq and is a predicted model, not a curated record. NCBI's taxonomy places the organism in Eukaryota, Metazoa, Chordata, Aves, Passeriformes, Pipridae. The transcript has 3 exons.
CUUCCAUGGUGUCGUUCUCACCUGCUGCUUGGCUUGCCACCUCUGCCCAGGUUCUCUUUGUCUGCCAGCUGACAGACACCGAAGGUGAACGAUUUCUCUGCCUUUCAGCCAGCACCUUGGCUCUAAGUAAUGAUUUCUCUGUUGUGGCACCCUGUGGACUUGGAGGCUUCCUGAGAGCACUCCAUCUCUCCUUCUGGUACAGCUCUGGACUAUAAUGCUUCGUGCAGAGACCAAGUUUGAAAGUGAGCUCACACAGUAAUGAUCAGGCUGAGCUUACCUUCUCUGGCUUCAUAAACGUCAACAUGGAAACCUCGUCUAGCAAAGAAACAGGCAUUUAACGCGCCCACCUACGAGAGAAGGACCAGGAACGGUGGAUGAAGUAUUCCACAGGUCACUACUGAGAUGCAUCAAGGGAAAGCAGUGAUCAGGGGAUGCAGCUCAGCAUGGACAGGAAAGCUGCUGAUGAGCAUCUUCUGUCUGUUCAUUUCCCUGCAAGCCCACACCUCUGGUUAUGCUGAGAGGUUGGACAAGGGCUGGGGCUGCAGCUCUCCCUGACUCCUGGAUGCACAGACUGUGCUCUCCAUUGCUUUGGCCCCAGACCAUUGCUUUCCAUGGGAGAGGUUUCCUCAAAUUUACGUGACAUUGCAGUGCCACCUUGAGAGUCCACUGAGUCAUAGAAUCAUAAAAGAUGGAAAAGACCUUUAAGAUCAUCUAGCCCAGCCCUCAAACUGUCACUGCAUGCCACUCCUUACCACGAUCUCUGGGAUCACAAAGGGCCUGUGCAGUGUAAAUAAUUCGCCUGGGGGGAGGUGAAGAGGAAGAGG